UAAAAAUGAGGGAUUUAAAUUGAUUAAGAUAACAAAAUAAGGAAAUAUAAAAAAUGAAAUAAAAAAAUUGAAAAUGCAAAAAUAAAUUUAAGAAAAUAAAACAAAUGGAUAAAUAAAAUAUUUUUUUAAGCUUAGCCUUAGCCUCGGUGUACUCCAAUCUUGAAUCGAUCCUUGAAAUAGAUUUUGCCUUCUAAGAUAUAAGCUGGUUAUAUCGACCAAGAACGUCCUAAUCACCAACUUUUCCUUAUGUAGUCAAUCCUGGUACGACCUGCAAACUGACUGUUGCCAAAUUUCUAACUACGAUACAUAUGUUCGCAAUUUAAGAUUUCAACAGCCUUACGAUCUGAAAAGCCCAACUCGAAUCAACGACCUCAACCGCGUGGGUCGUUUAAAUCCGAUCUCUAUCUCCCUUAACGGAAUCCAACUGGCUUUUACCACCUAGACAUGCCAAUUUUUUUACGGGAAUUCGAACACAACACAGCCGAUUCGUCUUCCCAACUGUAUGCCAAACAACUCCAACCCAACGUGCACUUUUUGAAACGAAGCUAAAUCAACUUUAAAGGACGAAUUUGUACUAUCCCAUAUAUUGGAGAGAUGGAAAACAUUGCGUUUAGAGGUUUGUUGAGGAGGCUGAUAUCUCACGAUUGUUUUAUUGGAGCAAUUUCUGGGCUAAAGCUAAAAAGGGUUUAGUUAAUCAUAGAAAAAAUCAUGCUUUGAAAAUAGAUUUGAGGAUUUGUUGUUGAUGGAAAUGGGAAGGGCCUUGGAAGACAAUUAAACUGAAAGAUUGAAAGCAAAAAAAUGAAACGAAAUAGUAAUAUGAGGAUGAGGAUGGCACAGGAAAUAGAAGAAAAAAAAGAAUUUAUUAAUUGCCAAGGUAAAAAAGUGUGUUCAAUUGGUUGUAGCCCACUAGGUAUUUAUACACAUUUUUAGUGUUAAAAUUUAGCUAGAUUUUUCCUAAAUUUUAUUGUAAUAGUCCAAUUUUGGCCUGGCUAAAAAACAAAUAACAAUCCGAAUACAACUGACCUAAAGCCCAAAUUACAAUCUAACCCAAUUACAAGGCCCAAUUGGCCUAAGGUAACAGAAGCCUUAAGCAGCAGGUAGCCUCGGCGCCGCACGUCCCCACGUUGCUGCAACCGCCCAUCACCCACGAUCAGCAACUCCGCAUAACGCCGAUUCCACCUGCAAUAAAUCAAAGGGAGGGAUUGAUCAAAGAAAAGAGGAGUGUAAAAAACGAGUGUAAAAGAGACAAAGAUUGUAUUGAAAAGGAAAAAAGAUACUAAAUCAAGGAAUCAAAAGGGAAGUUUUGAAGGUAUUUCGCUUCAUUUUUCAGAGAAAUCUGUGGGAUUUCUAUUUUUUUAUGUAUUUAUUCUCUGUUAUAAAAUAAAAACGAAAGAAAAGGAAAAAUAGAGUUUAUUGAAGGUGAAAGAAUUUUUCCUCUUCUUUUGAUAAUUUUCUGCUUCUAUUCUUUUAUUUAAGAGAAAGGAAGAGACUUUUUUUUAAAACCUUACCUGUAUGUUGCGUUGUCGGAACCUCUAUACUUUCGGCUUCGAAUCAAAAUAGGGUGGGCAAUGGUUGAGUUGAAAGUGGUGUUGCGGGCAUAGGUUUAGUCUGUUGGAGAAAUUAGAAUGGUGGCUGAUAUUAGGGUUAGCAUUGGUUUUAUUUUAAAGUGAAAGAGACGGUGC
This 1682-nucleotide long non-coding RNA is filed under the name Gossypium barbadense (sea-island cotton). Its description in RNAcentral is "long non-coding RNA (GBAR_LNC018588)". Lineage: Eukaryota; Viridiplantae; Streptophyta; Magnoliopsida; Malvales; Malvaceae. The record is from RNAcentral.